Molecule: small nuclear RNA, 165 nt
Organism: Protopterus annectens (West African lungfish)
Lineage: Eukaryota; Metazoa; Chordata; Ceratodontiformes; Protopteridae
Product: U1 spliceosomal RNA
Exons: 1
Source: RefSeq, a predicted model, not a curated record
ACACUUACCUAGCAGGGAGAAUGCCAUGAUCAAGAAAAUGGUUUCCUCAGGGAGAGGAUAUUCCAUUGCACACUACUGUUGGGUUGACCCCUGUGAUUUCCCAAAUGUGAGAAAGUCAACUGCAUAAUUUAUGGUAGUGGUGGACUGCAUUUGUGCAGUCCAGUG